Molecule: long non-coding RNA, 2453 nt
Organism: Hordeum vulgare subsp. vulgare (domesticated barley)
Lineage: Eukaryota; Viridiplantae; Streptophyta; Magnoliopsida; Poales; Poaceae
Exons: 4
Source: RefSeq, a predicted model, not a curated record
GUGCUGCCAACUUGGUCCUGUUCGUCUUCGUCCCACUGGCUCGAGGUUUUCUUGCCGUUUCCUCGCCAACAAAUUCUGUCUGGUGCCUUUCUCUUUCCCCAUUUCGGAAACUCUCUAGAAUCCGUGCGCGUUCGUUCUUGCCAAAAAAAGUUCUUGGCCCGAGAUCGGUGGGUGCGUGUGCCGGGGUUCCGCUCGACCUCUCCCCAGCAAAUGAGAUCUGUUCGAGGACAAAACUGAGCUGCUACUGCAAUUUUGCCACCCCACGGUCGGUCGGUCGACGACGCAGCGGUGGUGUAGAGCUGGCGGGAGACCGGCGCGGCGAGCGUGUUUGGGCGAGAGCGACGGCGUGCACGCGUUGCACUCGGCUUGUGCGUGCGUCCGUCGGCGACCCGAGGCUGCUAGGAUCGAGGGAAGGAGGACGGCACCCGCUCGGACGACGAGCCGUGAUCCGGCCGGGGUCGCGCGCGUGCUGCCAUUGCCGUGGUGGCCUCGCCGUUGACGGGAGCUCGCGUCGUGUGGGCUCGUCCGGCUCCUUCGUUCGUCUGGAGGCAGGUCGAUCAGGGAGAACAGCUUCAUGGAGCGCCUGCGGAGAUGUGUUGUAUGCGCGGCGCCAACGCGGCCAAGCUAGGUUCCUCGUGUCACAGGAUUAUACAGUAUAGACUGAGGAAUGCAACCAUAGUAUCAAAACUUGGCAGCUACACUCCUACAGGUUCCAUACACAAGGCUGCAAGCUUUGGAAAUUAAUGUGCGGGAACCAUGACUCAUCGACACUUGAGCAGCUCGUGCGAGGCCUGUGGACGCGUGGUGAAGCUCCAACAAACGUCAGUUGUUCCAUGAAGCACCUAAGGGUGCCCUUUGCGGUCUUAGAAUUUUUUUUGUUGUUGGCAACCCCCAAAGCUUGUAUUCCCUCAUUUUGUUGUUCUUUUGAGUAAUUUGGCCCGUGUGUGGGUCUGGAAGAACUAGCUCUUGUAAUACCUCCAAAAAGGGCUUUAGUUGUCUAAAGUCGGGCAUACGCCUCCUCCAAAAUAAAUGUAAUUAUAAUUUUAAAACAUCUAGAACUAGUUCAGCCAAAUGUGUGCAUUCCUUUUCGAAAAAAGACCUAAGAUAACAUGUGCAUGAAGUUGUGUUUUAGUCCAUCCCUUCCUUUACCCAAGGUGUAUAUGUUUUCUAAUAAAAUUCCACAAUUUAAAGUGCAUUUUUUCUAAUUUCUCGUAGUUCCUUUUUUAGCUCUCCACAAAAAGAAAAGUAUGUCUCUUUUGAUUGCUCCUAUCUCGGCUUCUAGAAAAAAGGAAAGUAUCUCUCUCUCGAUUGCAUGUAUCUCUUCCUUUCCUGGCAUAAUUGAUAAUUGAUUUACUUGACGCUAACCAACAAAUUAGACAAGUGUAACCUUCUACGCCUUCCAAGUUAGGUGGACUCCUUCCAAGUUAGGUGGACUCCUUGAUUCCCAUAAGCCGUCACUCAUAGUGCUCAUGGCCGAGCCGGUAUACCUAGUUCGGGUCUUCUUCGGGCCGAAUCUUGCCCACAUUGGGUGUUACCUAAGGCGGGCCUAAUUUCUCUAGCCCUUCCCCUUCUCGGUUUCACCGUGAGUUGGCCCAUUGGUUUCUUCUGUGAGUCGGCCUUUUGCCGGGUCUGGCCUUUGCUUCCAGUUGCUUUUGUCACGAGCCAGAAGUAAUGUGACUCACUGAGCCUCAAAGCUCAGGGCCGGGUCACACUCAUGGUGGGUCUCAACCGUAGCGAACAUCCCCAACACAAGGUGUAUUUACUUUCUAAUAAAAUUCCACAAUUUAAGGUGCAUUUUUCCUAAUUUCUCGUAGUUCCUUUUUUAGAUCUCCACAAAAAGAAAAGUAUGUCUCUUCCGAUUGCCUCUAUCUCUACUUCUAGAAAAAAAGGAAAGUAUCUCUAUGUCUCUCAAUUGCGUGUAUCUCUUCCUUACCUCGCAUAAUUGAUAAUAUAUUUCAUUGACGCUAACCAACAAAUUAGUAAUUAUGUGUCUUGGCCAUAGUGCCCAAACAAAUAGACCUUACAUAAAGAAUUAGAAGGAGUACUUUCUAGAAAAAACAGUACUCAAAUCAACACGCGGGGAUGUACUUUAUGAUCAACAAGAGAGCUACGGAAGUUUUAUGUCUCAUUUAACUCUCGUGAGAGCAAGGAAAUAAAAUGAAACUAAAGAAAAACUAGAUCAUUACAAGAUACAUACUUAAACGCGCAUGAAGUUUCACAAUAAAGUGCUGAUAAUAUUAUGGAUAUUGUAUACAAAUUAAGAAACAAAACAUAUAAUGAUUCAAGUUUGAAUACUUGUAAACCAAACAACCAUAUGAAAGAAUAGUAAAGACAAGAAUUACAAUUGUUAUAUAUCACUUUAAGCGCCAUAACGACCAAAUCACACAAAUUUUUUUGUGAAAUCUUCUACGUGCAGCAAUUCCCACUUGAGAAUAAAUACGAAAGUUAGAUUA